CUGGUUGAUCCUGCCAGUAGUCAUAUGCUUGUCUCAAAGAUUAAGCCAUGCAUGUCUAAGUACAAGCCUCAGUAAGGUGAAACCGCGAAUGGCUCAUUAAAUCACACCUAAUCUACUGGAAAGUUACAAGUUACUUGGAUAACUGAGGUAAUUCUUGAGCUAAUACAUGCGAAAAAUCUCGACUCACGGAGAGAUGCUUUUAUUAGAUCAAAACCAAACGGCUUCGGCCGUAACAUUGGUGACUCUGAAUAACUUUGGGCUGAUCGUAUGGCCUUGUGCCGACGACGUUUACUUCGAAUGU
This 301-nucleotide ribosomal RNA is filed under the name uncultured eukaryote. Its description in RNAcentral is "SSU rRNA". It matches the Rfam family "Eukaryotic small subunit ribosomal RNA", at positions 4 to 306 of the family's 1831-position model. The record is from RNAcentral.